GGGGGUGUAGCUCAGUGGUAGAGCACAGGCUUAGCAUGUGUGAGGCCCUGGGUUGAAUCCCUAGCACCACCC
RNAcentral lists this transfer RNA (72 nucleotides) under Heterocephalus glaber (naked mole-rat). RNAcentral's name for it is "tRNA-Ala (AGC) (tRNA-Ala-AGC-15-1)". It matches the Rfam family "tRNA". From Rfam's summary of the family: Transfer RNA (tRNA) molecules are approximately 80 nucleotides in length. Their secondary structure includes four short double-helical elements and three loops (D, anti-codon, and T loops). The record is from Rfam by way of RNAcentral. Lineage: Eukaryota; Metazoa; Chordata; Mammalia; Rodentia; Bathyergidae.